AAGUCGUAACAAGGUUUCCGUAGGUGAACCUGCGGAAGGAUCAUUAUUGAAUGUGCGCAAGCACUUAUCAAUUCCAACACACCUGUGCACUUGUGCCCUCGGGCAUUUUAACAAACAUCUCAGUAAUGAAUGUAUAAUACUUUAAACAAAAAUACAACUUUCAACAACGGAUCUCUUGGCUCUCGCAUCGAUGAAGAACGCAGCGAAAUGCGAUAAGUAAUGUGAAUUGCAGAAUUCAGUGAAUCAUCGAAUCUUUGAACGCACAUUGCGCCCUUUGGUAUUCCGAAGGGCAUGCCUGUUUGAGUGUCAUGUAAAUCUCUCUUUAUUGGUUUUCUAAAUCAAUCAAAGAGCUUUGGGCGUCUGGCUGGCUCAUUUGCUUUGCCUCGCCUCAAAUGUCUAAGUGAAAUGCGUAAUAAGUUUCGCAACCCUUCACUAUAAUCAAACCUUUUUUGCUCUGACCUCAAAUCAGGUAGGACUACCCGCUGAACUUAA
This 492-nucleotide ribosomal RNA is filed under the name uncultured fungus. Its description in RNAcentral is "eukaryotic LSU rRNA". The stretch from base 156 to 309 matches the Rfam family "5.8S ribosomal RNA". The record is from RNAcentral. Lineage: Eukaryota; Fungi.